AGAGUUUGAUCAUGGCUCAGAAUCAACGCUGGCGGCGCGCUUAACACAUGCAAGUCGAACGGGAAAGUGGAGCAAUCCAUGAGUACAGUGGCGUACGGGUGAGUAACACGUGGGUAAUCUACCUCUUAGUGGGGAAUAACCCUGGGAAACCGGGGCUAAUACCGCAUAAGCUCGAGAGAGGAAAGUCGCAAGACGCUGAGAGAGGAGCCCGCGGCCGAUUAGCUAGUUGGGAGGGUAAGAGCCUACCAAGGCAGAGAUCGGUAGCCGGCCUGAGAGGGCACACGGCCACACUGGCACUGAAACACGGGCCAGACUCCUACGGGAGGCAGCAGUGGGGAAUCUUGCACAAUGGGGGAAACCCUGAUGCAGCGACGCCGCGUGAGCGAUGAAGCCUUCGGGGUGUAAAGCUCUUUCGUCAGGGAAGAUUAUGACGGUACCUGGAGAAGCAGCUGCGGCUAACUACGUGCCAGCAGCCGCGGUAAUACGUAGGCAGCGAGCGUUGUUCGGAGUUACUGGGCGUAAAGGGUGUGUAGGCGGUUCUUUAAGUUUGGUGUGAAAUCUCCCGGCUUAACCGGGAGGGUGCGCCGAAUACUGAGGGACUAGAGUGCGGGAGAGGAAAGUGGAAUUCCUGGUGUAGCGGUGAAAUGCGUAGAUAUCAGGAGGAACACCGGUGGUGUAGACGGCUUUCUGGACCGUAACUGACGCUGAGACACGAAAGCGUGGGUAGCAAACAGGAUUAGAUACCCUAGUAGUCC
This 755-nucleotide ribosomal RNA is filed under the name uncultured bacterium. Its description in RNAcentral is "bacterial SSU rRNA". It matches the Rfam family "Bacterial small subunit ribosomal RNA", at positions 8 to 796 of the family's 1533-position model. The record is from RNAcentral.